Molecule: long non-coding RNA, 199 nt
Organism: Lates calcarifer (barramundi perch)
Lineage: Eukaryota; Metazoa; Chordata; Actinopteri; Centropomidae
Exons: 2
Source: RefSeq, a predicted model, not a curated record
GCACCUUUAUAUUGAAUCUGGUGUUAACUUCUAACAGUUGAACAUGUCUCUGUGGUUACUGAUUCUUUCUCCAAACAAAGGGAUCAAUCAUUUCAAAGUUCAUGAUUUUUUUUUUUUUUUUACAUUUGUGUGACCAAAAACCCACUGAAGGUUGUAUGGUGGUCAUGUCCCCAGACAUGUGUGUUUGCAGGCAACCGAA